UCCUACGGGAGGCAGCAGUGGGGAAUAUUGGACAAUGGACCACAAGUCUGAUCCAGCAAUUCUGCGUGCACGAUGACGUUUUUCGGAAUGUAAAGUGCUUUCAGUCGGGAAGAAGUCAGUGACGGUACCGACAGAAGAAGCGACGGCUAAAUACGUGCCAGCAGCCGCGGUAAUACGUAUGUCGCAAGCGUUAUCCGGAUUUAUUGGGCGUAAAGCGCGUCUAGGCGGCAAGGAAAGUCUGAUGUGAAAAUGCGGAGCCCAACUCCGUAUGGCGUUGGAAACUGCCUUACUAGAGUACUGGAGAGGUAGGCGGAACUACAAGUGUAGAGGUGAAAUUCGUAGAUAUUUGUAGGAAUGCCGAUGGGGAAGCCAGCCUACUGGACAGAUACUGACGCUAAAGCGCGAAAGCGUGGGUAGCAAACAGGAUUAGAUACCCUGGUAGUCC
RNAcentral lists this ribosomal RNA (445 nucleotides) under uncultured bacterium. RNAcentral's name for it is "bacterial SSU rRNA". It matches the Rfam family "Bacterial small subunit ribosomal RNA", at positions 337 to 796 of the family's 1533-position model. The record is from RNAcentral.